AAAACUUUCAACAACGGAUCUCUUGGUUCUGGCUUCGAUGAAGAACGCAGCGAAAUGCGAUAAGUAAUGCGAAUUGCUGAAUUCCGUGAGUCAUCGAAUCUUUGAACGCACAUUGCGCCCUCCGGUAUUCCGGAGGGCAUGCCUGUUCGAGCGUCAUU
This 158-nucleotide ribosomal RNA is filed under the name Dermatocarpon luridum var. decipiens. RNAcentral describes it as "5.8S ribosomal RNA". It matches the Rfam family "5.8S ribosomal RNA". From Rfam's summary of the family: 5.8S ribosomal RNA (5.8S rRNA) is a component of the large subunit of the eukaryotic ribosome. The record is from RNAcentral. Lineage: Eukaryota; Fungi; Ascomycota; Eurotiomycetes; Verrucariales; Verrucariaceae.